GACAGUGGGUGGCCAAGUAAUUGUUAAUGUUGGAUGUCAAUGCUGAGCAGAGGGAUACAGCAAUCCAGGAGGGUCGUGGAAGGUUUACGGGCCCGAAGGAGGACGUGCAUGACGUCGGGAGUAUCCUCCAUGCCGCGAGGCUGAGAGAGGUGACGUCUGGGUGAAGAACGAGGCCGUGGUCGAGUGACAGGAGAUCCGGGCGGAGAGGAAGGAGGAGCAUAUCUGACGACAUCGAGACCAGUGUCCUUAACUGGUAGCACGGGAGGCGAAUCAGAAGUGGAUUGCCCCGCUGGAAGUCUAUCAGCAGAAAGAGCUGGUGAUCUGGCCGCUUCUGAGGAUGAAGCAGGAUUCAUGGCUGCUUGCCAAAGGUCAUCAGAAGGACUGUUGAGGACGCUGUCGCUAUGUGUGUGCUGUCGAUUUUGGUAUGAGGAAGAUGACUGAGAGAAAAGAACCAAGAAGCGCGAAUGGAGAGCUUGUCAAGAGAUGAAACCUCAGUGGCGGCAAAAAGGAACUGAGGCAAUCAUCAGGAUGGGUGGACCACGUGUGUUAGGGGGCGGUCCUGCUAAAAGUGUUUGAGCUCUAGAAUAUUCUGGAGAUCCCUGCGCAGGUGGAGAUUAACCCAUUAGUGUGCAUUCACAGAGACCAUGAAGAAGAACAAGCAGUUAUUAAAUAGAUUGAAAUAUGG
Molecule: non-coding RNA, 685 nt
Organism: Pogona vitticeps (central bearded dragon)
Lineage: Eukaryota; Metazoa; Chordata; Lepidosauria; Squamata; Agamidae
Source: RefSeq, a predicted model, not a curated record